Anas platyrhynchos (mallard) is the source of this 1926-nucleotide long non-coding RNA. RefSeq lists it as uncharacterized. Lineage: Eukaryota; Metazoa; Chordata; Aves; Anseriformes; Anatidae. The record is from RefSeq and is a predicted model, not a curated record.
AGCAUCUACUGAAAUUGCUCUGCAGGUACCCUGUGUCCCCAAGACUGCAGGCACCAAAGUACUUCCACACUGUCUUGGCGCCUUCCCAAAAUGCAGGUGUGGGAACAAGCCAGGGGAUUCAGGCUCCAAGGCUGGCAGUGUGCAGGAGCGCCCAUGACGCCCAUACCAACAAUGAUUGUAAAGUCUAUGCUUUGUAAUACUUCUCAUACAGCCUCAGCAUUAAAUAAACCUGCUCUAUUUUUGAGUGCUACUACUGUGAUUCUUGAGGGAUCUCUAAAAGGAAAUAGUUGUCCAGCGCUGCUGAAUGCCUGUUAUUAAGGAAAAAAGUAUUUAAAGAUUCAGAGAUACCCCUGCUUAAUCUGAGGAGUUCCCAGACCAUGGGUUGAAAAUUUCUGCAGUGUUCCCUCUGGACAUUUCUUCUUCAUUUUCUCCUUGGUUCUUCUGUUUCCUGCAUGACAAUCUGCCUCCUUGGUGUCCUAGGAUCUGUUCACCCCUCACCUUAUACUUCUCUUUUGACCCAUCUUGUAAAGCAGACUCCUGGUUGAGCAGGGAACAAGUAGCUACUAUAACUGGUGGAAUGAUGGUGAAAACACUGCUACAAAGAACAAAUGGACACUGCUAAAAAGAGAAAGGAAACAAACAAACAAAAAAAUGUGAAGGAGAAGAGAAAUGAUGCUGGAAGCUGGCAAAAGCUUUCCCCUCUGAAUCCUGGAGCAGGAGAAACGCUUGCUGGGUAAUGCAUCUAUCUAGUUACAUGUCAUACAUGACCACAGUAUUGAAGGGUUUAGCUGUCCUGGGAUUUAAACAUGUCACUACUGGGAUAAGCUGCACUCGUACAAAACAGAGUAGUGUAAACUCUUUUGCCAAUGGAAUGAGUGCCUUAGUGGUGAAGCUGUGGCAGAGAGGCGAUUUGAGAAUAUCAAGGUUUGCACAGUAGCAUGGGGAGGAGAGGGCGAUAGCUGGAUGGGCUGUGCGAGCCGCAGAGAGCUCAGUGAGGGGCGAAGAGAGCUGCAGAGCUGCUAAGCAGGGGAUUAUAGGGAAGCUGAAGGAAAAAAUGAGCCUACAUCAGUGUGGUGUAAAGAUAGAAUUAAAUUGAGUCACUGGAUCUCGUUCACAAUACACCAGCAGAGGAUAUUGGCUAGUACUAUGGAAAAGAGAGAUUUAGCAUUUGCACCUGGAGACUUCCUAAAAUGUAAGGAUCAGAGCAAGUCUUUACUAUAUUAUUAGGUAUAAACAGGCUCUGUCAAGCACUGGAAGACUCAGUGUGGUGCUCCACUUUGAGAAACAGGUCACAGCAGCUGGACAGUAGGUGGCACGGGCAGGGCUGCAUUGUUUUCUGAACCUGAGCUGGUGCAAGUGGGCUGCCUCCGCAGCUCCAGCUGGUCGGGACAUCCUCACAUGGCACUCCUCUGUGACGUACAGGCAUGGCAAGAAGCUGGAGGGGGCAACUAGACCUUGCCCUGCAAACUUUUGUUCAACUUUGUGUACUAACAUUAGACCUCAGAGGAAAUUGGCAAGCUUUUAUUUUUGACGGUGGCUUUUUUAGCUCUUCUCAGGGAUUUCAAUAAUUUUCAUUAUGAACUAUACCAGCCUCUUUCAUCUUAGGAAGAAAAGACUGCAAUCGGGGGUAUACAGCAGCUCUUCUUUUUUAGCUGCUGGAAAAUAAGUUAAUAAAUGCAGUCACAAUACAGGGUAUACCAUUCUCAUUCCUUAUUGAUACCAACUAUACUGUAACAAUGAAUUUCAAAGUGCUGCUGAUGUAAACUCUACCUGAAGCCUGUUUGAUCUCAGAUAAGCAUCUUCAUCCCAUUCUUCAUUUCAAGAAAAGAAAAUCUUACUGCACAGCAACAUAUUCAUCUGCUUUGGGUUCAGUUCAAGAUAAGCCAUGCUUUGCAGAAAACCUAAUUAAUAUCAAUCACAAGAAAA